Molecule: ribosomal RNA, 484 nt
Filed under: uncultured bacterium
Lineage: Bacteria
Description: partial 16S ribosomal RNA
Rfam family: Bacterial small subunit ribosomal RNA
Source: RNAcentral
AUUGAACGCUGGCGGCAGGCCUAACACAUGCAAGUCGAGCGGAUGAAGGGAGCUUGCUCCUGGAUUCAGCGGCGGACGGGUGAGUAAUGCCUAGGAAUCAGCCUGGUAGUGGGGGAUAACGUCCGGAAACGGGCGCUAAUACCGCAUACGUCCUGAGGGAGAAAGUGGGGGAUCUUCGGACCUCACGCUAUCAGAUGAGCCUAGGUCGGAUUAGCUAGUUGGUGGGGUAAAGGCCUACCAAGGCGACGAUCCGUAACUGGUCUGAGAGGAUGAUCAGUCACACUGGAACUGAGACACGGUCCAGACUCCUACGGGAGGCAGCAGUGGGGAAUAUUGGACAAUGAGCGAAAGCCUGAUCCAGCCAUGCCGCGUGUGUGAAGAAGGUCUUCGGAUUGUAAAGCACUUUAAGUUGGGAGGAAGGGCAGUAAGUUAAUACCUUGCUGUUUUGACGUUACCAACAGAAUAAGCACCGGCUAACUUCGUG